GAUGAACGCUAGCGGGAGGCCUAACACAUGCAAGCCGAGCGGUAUUUGUUCUUCGGAACAGAGAGAGCGGCGCACGGGUGCGGAACACGUGUGCAACCUGCCUUUAUCUGGGGGAUAGCCUUUCGAAAGGAAGAUUAAUACCCCAUAUAUAUUGAGUGGCAUCAUUUGAUAUUGAAAACUCCGGUGGAUAGAGAUGGGCACGCGCAAGAUUAGAUAGUUGGUGAGGUAACGGCUCACCAAGUCAAUGAUCUUUAGGGGGCCUGAGAGGGUGAUCCCCCACACUGGUACUGAGACACGGACCAGACUCCUACGGGAGGCAGCAGUGAGGAAUAUUGGACAAUGGGUUAGCGCCUGAUCCAGCCAUCCCGCGUGAAGGACGACGGCCCUAUGGGUUGUAAACUUCUUUUGUAUAGGGAUAAACCUACUCUCGUGAGAGUAGCUGAAGGUACUAUACGAAUAAGCACCGGCUAACUCCGUG
Molecule: ribosomal RNA, 478 nt
Filed under: uncultured bacterium
Lineage: Bacteria
Description: partial 16S ribosomal RNA
Rfam family: Bacterial small subunit ribosomal RNA
Source: RNAcentral